Molecule: ribosomal RNA, 512 nt
Filed under: uncultured bacterium
Lineage: Bacteria
Description: bacterial SSU rRNA
Rfam family: Bacterial small subunit ribosomal RNA
Source: RNAcentral
AUGCAAGUCGACGAGAAGCCCACUGACUCAAUUGAAAUUGGAGUGCUUGCACAAGAACGGAUUUGAGUGACGUGGAUUCUGCUUCUAGUGGCAAACGGGUGAGUAACACGUGGGUUACCUACCUUCUGUUGGGGAUACCAAUUGGAAACGAUUGCUAAUACCGAAUGUGAUCUACGGAUUAAAGGAGCCUUUAAAGCUCCGCGAGAAGAUGGGCCUGCGGUGCAUUAGAUAGUUGGUGGGGUAACGGCCUACCAAGUCGACGAUGCAUAGCUGAACUGAGAGGUUGAUCGGCCACACUGGGACUGAGACACGGCCCAGACUCCUACGGGAGACAGCAGUUAGGAAUAUUCGUCAAUGGGGGAAACCCUGAACGAGCAAUGCCGCGUGAACGAUGACGGUUCCCUCUGGAUUGUAAAGUUCUGUUGUUUGGAAAGAAUUGUACUGAUAGGAAAUGAUCAGUGCUUGACGGUACCAUUCAAGAAAGCCACGGCUAACUACGUGCCAGCAGCGGC